This 492-nucleotide ribosomal RNA is filed under the name uncultured bacterium. Its description in RNAcentral is "partial 16S ribosomal RNA". It matches the Rfam family "Bacterial small subunit ribosomal RNA", at positions 29 to 507 of the family's 1533-position model. The record is from RNAcentral.
AGUGAACGCUGGCGGUAGGCCUAACACAUGCAAGUCGAACGGCAGCACAGUAAGAGCUUGCUCUUACGGGUGGCGAGUGGCGGACGGGUGAGGAAUACAUCGGAAUCUACUUUUUCGUGGGGGAUAACGUAGGGAAACUUACGCUAAUACCGCAUACGAUCUACGGGUGAAAGCAGGGGAUCUUCGCACCUUGCGCGAUUGAAUGAGCCGAUGUCGGAUUAGCUAGUUGGUAGGGUAAAGGCCCACCAAGGCGACGAUCCGUAGCUGGUCUGAGAGGAUGAUCGGCGACACUGGAAAUGAGCGGCGGUCCAGAGAACUACGGGAGGGCGCAGUAGGGGACGGUGGGCAAUGGGGGCAAGUAUGACGGAACAAGGCGGAGUCAGUGACGACGGCCUUGGGAUCGUAAAGACCUGUUAUGAGGGAAGAAAAUAUGUCUCCGGAAACGAGGAGAUAGUGACGGUAACUAAUAAAAAAGCACCGGCUAACUACGUG